This 247-nucleotide ribosomal RNA is filed under the name Bacillus velezensis. Its description in RNAcentral is "partial 23S ribosomal RNA". It matches the Rfam family "Bacterial large subunit ribosomal RNA", at positions 2037 to 2283 of the family's 2925-position model. The record is from RNAcentral. Lineage: Bacteria; Bacillati; Bacillota; Bacilli; Caryophanales; Bacillaceae.
UGAAAUUAUAGUACCUGUGAAGAUGCAGGUUACCCGCGACAGGACGGAAAGACCCCGUGGAGCUUUACUGCAGCCUGAUAUUGAAUGUUGGUACAGCUUGUACAGGAUAGGUAGGAGCCUUGGAAACCGGAGCGCCAGCUUCGGUGGAGGCAUCGGUGGGAUACUACCCUGGCUGUAUUGACCUUCUAACCCGCCGCCCUUAUCGGGCGGGGAGACAGUGUCAGGUGGGCAGUUUGACUGGGGCGGU